GAUAAGGAGCUUGCUCCUUUGACGUUAGCGGCGGACGGGUGAGUAACACGUGGGUAACCUACCUAUAAGACUGGAAUAACUCCGGGAAACCGGGGCUAAUGCCGGAUAACAUAUAGAACCGCAUGGUUCUAUAGUGAAAGAUGGUUUUGCUAUCACUUAUAGAUGGACCCGCGCCGUAUUAGCUAGUUGGUAAGGUAAUGGCUUACCAAGGCGACGAUACGUAGCCGACCUGAGAGGGUGAUCGGCCACACUGGAACUGAGACACGGUCCAGACUCCUACGGGAGGCAGCAGUAGGGAAUCUUCCGCAAUGGGCGAAAGCCUGACGGAGCAACGCCGCGUGAGUGAUGAAGGGUUUCGGCUCGUAAAACUCUGUUAUUAGGGAAGAACAUAUGUGUAAGUAACUGUGCACAUCUUGACGGUACCUAAUCAGAAAGCCACGGCUAACUACGUGCCAGCAGCCGCGGUAAUACGUAGGUGGCAAGCGUUAUCCGGAAUUAUUGGGCGUAAAGCGCGCGUAGGCGGUUUCUUAAGUCUGAUGUGAAAGCCCACGGCUCAACCGUGGAGGGUCAUUGGAAACUGGGAAACUUGAGUGCAGAAGAGGAAAGUGGAAUUCCAUGUGUAGCGGUGAAAUGCGCAGAGAUAUGGAGGAACACCAGUGGCGAAGGCGACUUUCUGGUCUGUAACUGACGCUGAUGUGCGAAAGCGUGGGGAUCAAACAGGAUUAGAUACCCUGGUAGUCCACGCCGUAAACGAUGAGUGCUAAGUGUUACGGGGUUUCCGCCCCUUAGUGCUGCAGCUAACGCAUUAAGCACUCCGCCUGGGGAGUACGACCGCAAGGUUGAAACUCAAGGAAUUGACGGGACCCGCACAAG
RNAcentral lists this ribosomal RNA (873 nucleotides) under Staphylococcus gallinarum. RNAcentral's name for it is "bacterial SSU rRNA". It matches the Rfam family "Bacterial small subunit ribosomal RNA", at positions 70 to 929 of the family's 1533-position model. Lineage: Bacteria; Bacillati; Bacillota; Bacilli; Caryophanales; Staphylococcaceae. The record is from RNAcentral.